UUUUUUGCUGGAGAAGAACUUCCUUUGAUUUAUCCUUCGUUCCUUUCGCUCGUCUUUUUAGUUCGGUUCGGAGAUAACGAUAAUAUUGUGGCAGUGCCUAUGUUACUGUUUUAAAAUAAAAUAAAGAGAAAGUAUUUGUUCAGUUAAGUUUGUUGGUGUUGGUGGUUUCAAAUUUAGUAAUAGUAUUUGGGAAAGGAGUUGAAACCGAAGAGCGUGAGAUCCGAUUCAUGUUCUUAAUUACACGUUGACUUGCCGUUUUUAUUCGUCAAAUUCAAUCUGAUGCAUAUUCGGACCCAAAGACAUAGCGCUCUUUCUCCAUCCAAAUCUCGCAUUCCCAGUUUCAAACAUUCUCAAAUCAUGAAGACAACACAGAUUUUCGGUGUGUCUAUCUCGCUCAUUCUUAUCAACCUGGCCGCUAUCAUGGAGAAAGCCGAUGAAAAUCUUCUUCCAUCUGUCUACAAGGAAGUUAGCGAAGCAUUUAAUGCCGGACCAUCUGAUUUGGGUUACCUCACAUUCAUAAGGAACUUUGUUCAAGGACUAUCAUCCCCCUUGGCUGGAAUGCUUGUUCUAAACUAUGAUCGCCCUGUAAUUCUUGCAAUGGGAACUUUUUGCUGGGCUUUAUCUACAGCAGCUGUUGCCGCUUGCCACGAUUUUAUGCAGGUUGCAUUCUGGAGAGCUAUAAAUGGCUUUGGUUUGGCAAUAGUGAUUCCAGCACUACAGUCUUUCAUUGCUGAUAGCUACAAGGAUGGUGUGAGGGGAACUGGAUUUGGAUUAUUAAGCCUUAUUGGUAACUUAGGAGGCAUAGGAGGCGGUGUUUUGGCCACAGUCAUGGCUGGGAAGCAGUUUUGGGGGAUACAAGGGUGGCGAUGUGCUUUUGUUUUGAUGGCAACCUUGAGUGCAUUAAUUGGACUCCUUGUUUUGCUUUAUGUGGUUGAUCCAAGAAAAAGAUCUACCACCAUUCAUGAUGCUACUGACAGUUUAGAUAGGGAUGAAGGUAUCUAUAAAGGCAAUGCAAGUGCAGCAUCAAUAUGGAUGGACUCUUGGGCUGCCACAAAAGCUGUGAUCAAAGUGCAAACUUUUCAAAUCAUUGUGUUACAGGGCAUUAUUGGGUCGCUACCAUGGACUGCCAUGGUGUUCUUCACAAUGUGGUUCGAACUAAUUGGGUUUGAUAAUAACAGUUCAGCAACACUCCUCAGCCUUUUUGCUAUUGGAUGUGCAAUGGGGUCCUUCAUGGGUGGAUCAAUAGCUGAUCAACUGUCACAAGUGUACCCUCAUUCUGGUCGAAUCAUGUGUGCGCAGUUCAGCGCCUUUAUGGGCAUUCCAUUCUCAUGGUUUCUCCUUAAGGUGAUCCCUCAGUCUGUAAGUAGUUACCUCACCUUUUCUGUCACCCUCUUUCUGAUGGGUCUAACUAUAAGCUGGAAUGGUUCGGCUGCAAAUGCCCCCAUGUUUGCUGAGGUAGUCCCUGUCAAUCAUAGGACCAUGAUUUAUGCAUUUGAUCGAGCUUUCGAAGGCUCGUUUUCCUCGGUUGCGGCUCCCCUGGUUGGAAUUCUAUCUGAGAAAAUAUUUGGCUACAAUGCAAAGUCUGUUGAUCCUAUCAAAGGAUCUUCACCGGAGGCUCUGGCUUUGUCCAAGGGUCUUCUUUCAAUGAUGGCAAUUCCAUUUGGAUUGUGCUGUUUGUGCUACACACCCCUCUACUACAUAUUCAAGCGGGACCGCGAAAAUGCUAGAAUGGUCGCUUCGAAAGAGCAGGAGAUGAUGAUUUGAGAGUCAACUGGCUGUAUAGUUAAGAUUGGUUGAUCAUGUGAAACUGUCCACUGUUUUUGAGACUUGCGGUGUCUCAAUUGGAGUUUAAAUCAACGUCCAGGUUGACAAUACAUUUGGAGGCUUCCUACUGAUGAAGAAACUCCUUCACUCUUGACAUGACAAAUCUGGCUGGGAGGAUCAGAAAUUUGUUCCGGCGCUUAUAAUAUUCUUGAGAUGGCAAUUAUGGCUUGAACUGAUUAGAAAUUUUCAAUAGGUUCUUUAGCUAACACCAUACCGAAUUGAGGAUAUGUAACUUGUGGUAACUGUUAAUUGAUAAUAUCAUUUUGUUAUCCUCCUCUGUUUUUGCACUCUAUAAAUAAUUAUACUUGUUAUGUUUGGGACACUGCUGAAAUUAAUAACUUCACUCGGCCUAUCGACAAAGAUCUAAAAAAGAAAUUUCAUUGUAUUCAGCUUAAUAGCUGCAUGAUUUUAGGGAAUUUCUCAUCUAUUCACCUUGUUUACGUAUUAAACAUACUUCACAUUUCACACCUAUAAAAGGCUUCUGAGCCCUUUCGGGAUAUGCUACGCAGUUGGAGAGAUAA
Molecule: non-coding RNA, 2345 nt
Organism: Arachis ipaensis
Lineage: Eukaryota; Viridiplantae; Streptophyta; Magnoliopsida; Fabales; Fabaceae
Source: RefSeq, a predicted model, not a curated record